RNAcentral lists this ribosomal RNA (300 nucleotides) under uncultured Lactobacillus sp. RNAcentral's name for it is "bacterial SSU rRNA". It matches the Rfam family "Bacterial small subunit ribosomal RNA", at positions 496 to 795 of the family's 1533-position model. Lineage: Bacteria; Bacillati; Bacillota; Bacilli; Lactobacillales; Lactobacillaceae. The record is from RNAcentral.
GGGAAUUCGGGGGCAGCCGCGGCGGUAAUACGGGGGGUUGAAUGGUUAUCCGGAUUUAUUGGGUUUAAAGGGUCCGUAGGCGGACUUAUAAGGCAGUGGUGAAAGCCUGUCGCUUAACGAUAGAACUGCCAUUGAUACUGUAAGUCUUGAGUAUAUUUGAGGUAGCUGGAAUAAGUAGUGUAGCGGUGAAAUGCAUAGAUAUUACUUAGAACACCAAUUGCGAAGGCAGGUUACCAAGAUAUAACUGACGCUGAGGGACGAAAGCGUGGGGAGCGAACAGGAUUAGAUACCCGAGUAGUC